GAUAACUGGCUUGUGGCAGCCAAGGGUUCAUAGCGACGUUGCUUUUUGAUCCUACGAUCGAUGUCGUCUCUUUCUAUCAUUGUGAAGUAGAAUUCACCAAGUGCUGGAUUGUUCACCCACCAAUAUGGAAUGUGAGCUGGGUUUAGACCGUUGUGAGACAAGUU
RNAcentral lists this ribosomal RNA (164 nucleotides) under Beta vulgaris subsp. vulgaris (sugar beet). RNAcentral describes it as "rRNA LSU_rRNA_eukarya". It matches the Rfam family "Eukaryotic large subunit ribosomal RNA", at positions 2825 to 2984 of the family's 3401-position model. Lineage: Eukaryota; Viridiplantae; Streptophyta; Magnoliopsida; Caryophyllales; Amaranthaceae. The record is from RNAcentral.